RNAcentral lists this ribosomal RNA (665 nucleotides) under uncultured fungus. RNAcentral describes it as "eukaryotic LSU rRNA". The stretch from base 209 to 363 matches the Rfam family "5.8S ribosomal RNA". Lineage: Eukaryota; Fungi. The record is from RNAcentral.
AGUCGUAACAAGGUUUUCGUAGGUGAACCUGCGGAAGGAUCAUUAAUGAAUUCGGGCGCUCGACUCUGAAAUAUUGAGAUCGGCCCCAUUUCUUAAUCCACUUCACACUUGUGCACAUUUUUCCUACUUUCCUUCGGGAGAGUUUGAAAAGCUCUUGUGAUUUUAAUCAAGUCCAGGAUGUGAAUCCAAUUUGAAUAAGUUGUAAAACAACUACAAACGGUGGAUCUCUUGGCUCUCGUAUCGAUGAAGAACGCAGCGAAACGCGAAAUGUAAUGUGAAUUGCAGAAUUCAGUGAAUCAUCGAAUCUUUGAACGCAUCUUGCACUCUCGAAUCACUAUCGAGAGUAUGCCUGUUUGAGUGUCGCGAAACUCUCAACCCCGCCUCAUGCUUUAUUGCGUGUGGGUAGCUUGGGCUUGGAUCAUGAUCUUUGCAGUAAUGCGCUAGCAGAACUGCUGGAUUGAAAUACAACAAGCUGAAUCUAUAUACUUGCGGCUUGACCUGUCGUUGUAAGCACACAAAUGCAUUCGAUGGGGACGCGAGAAAAUGGAAUGAGCUUUCCAAAUGUGUUACACUUUGCAGCUUCUAUUAACUUAGAGCUCUUAGUGCAUUCUGACCUCAAAUCAGGUAGGAUUACCCGCUGAACUUAAGCAUAUCAAUAAAAGUCG